CUCACCUGGGGCUCUUGUGAAAACGCAGAAUCUGUUUCGCCAGGUCUGAGGUGGGCCUGGGAUUCUGCAUUUCUCACAAGCUCCCAGGUGAUGCUGC
RNAcentral lists this microRNA precursor (97 nucleotides) under Felis catus (domestic cat). RNAcentral describes it as "mir-544 microRNA precursor family". It matches the Rfam family "mir-544 microRNA precursor family". The record is from Rfam by way of RNAcentral. Lineage: Eukaryota; Metazoa; Chordata; Mammalia; Carnivora; Felidae.